GAAAAGUCUGUGAAGGAUCGAGUAAGUAAUUUUUUCACUUUUUAGAGAGAAUGACCGAGGCUGAGAGUCAUUUAAGGAAAAAAUACGGGAAAGACAAUCUGGAGAUGAGAGGAAGAAAAGCCUCUACGUGCACGAGCGUUAAUCGUUUGAGGAAAGUUUGGUUUAGUGUUUAAGACAAACUUUCAAAUUUAGGUGGUACCACGUGAAAUGUUAACGUCCUUGUG
This 224-nucleotide non-coding RNA is filed under the name Enterococcus aquimarinus. Its description in RNAcentral is "T-box sequence". It matches the Rfam family "T-box leader". From Rfam's summary of the family: Uncharged tRNA acts as the effector for transcription antitermination of genes in the T-box leader family. Lineage: Bacteria; Bacillati; Bacillota; Bacilli; Lactobacillales; Enterococcaceae. The record is from RNAcentral.